GUAAACAGCAACAAGCUGCGCUCAGUGGCAAAAAGAGCAGUUUUACCUAUAAACUUGGGUUAUAGUAAGAAAAGGAAUCGGAUCAACAUGCCAAUCCUUAAGGCUCCAACUUCUCUAGAAAGAGCCAAAACUAUGCUGAUAAAUCUAUAACUAGAGGUUAAUAAUAAUCGAUGUUGUAAAACCUUGAUAUCCGCUGGGGUUUUUCGGAGG
Molecule: long non-coding RNA, 210 nt
Organism: Drosophila virilis
Lineage: Eukaryota; Metazoa; Arthropoda; Insecta; Diptera; Drosophilidae
Source: RefSeq, a predicted model, not a curated record